This 778-nucleotide ribosomal RNA is filed under the name uncultured Neocallimastigales. RNAcentral describes it as "partial large subunit ribosomal RNA". It matches the Rfam family "Eukaryotic large subunit ribosomal RNA", at positions 24 to 644 of the family's 3401-position model. Lineage: Eukaryota; Fungi; Neocallimastigomycota; Neocallimastigomycetes; Neocallimastigales. The record is from RNAcentral.
UAUCUCUGUAGAGUCUGCAUAUCAAUAAGCGGAGGAAAAGAAACUAACUAGGAUUCCCUCAGUAACGGCGAGUGAAGCGGGAAGAGCUCAAAUUUGAAAUCUUCAAGGUUCUACCUUGACGAAUUGUAGUUUAAAGAAGUGUUUUCUGUUGGAGUUUUGGUAAAAGUUCUUUGGAAUAGGACAUCAUAGAGGGUGAGAAUCCCGUAUUUGACUUAUUCAUUCUAGCUUUGUGAUACACUCUCAAAGAGUCGGAUUGUUUGGGAAUGCAGUCCAAAAUGGGUGGUAAAUUUCAUCUAAAGCUAAAUAUUGGCGAGAGACCGAUAGCGAACAAGUACCGUGAGGGAAAGAUGAAAAGAACUUUGAAAAGAGAGUUAAACAGUACGUGAAAUUGUCAAAAGGGAAGCGUUUGACACCAGUGUUGUUUUCUCGAAAAAUCAAUUACGAAUGGCUUGAUUUUGUGUUGUAUUGACCUUAUCAGCUUUCUUCACUUUUUUCGAGUCUUUCUUAAUGCACUUUUCGGUUAACAAGUCAACAUCAAUUUCUUUUGUUGUAAAAGAGUAUUCGGAAGGUGGCUUUCUUUUCGGAGAAAGUGUUUAUAGCCCUAUACUUCUACAAUCGGAGAGAUUGAGGUCUGCAGCGUAGAUCCUUCGGGGUUAGAUACACUUUGUGCUAAGUUGUAGCUUUUCAUAGACAACUUGUUGACUAUGUUUAGUCAUGCGGCUUACUCGCUUAGUGCUAUUUUACCUACGCUUAGGAUGUUGACUGAUAUGUAGUCGUA